RNAcentral lists this ribosomal RNA (450 nucleotides) under uncultured bacterium. RNAcentral describes it as "partial 16S ribosomal RNA". It matches the Rfam family "Bacterial small subunit ribosomal RNA", at positions 354 to 796 of the family's 1533-position model. The record is from RNAcentral.
GUGGGGAAUUUUGGACAAUGGGCGAAAGCCUGAUCCAGCAAUGCCGCGUGUGUGAAGAAGGCCUUCGGGUUGUAAAGCACUUUUGGCAGGGAAGAAACAGUGCGUGCUAAUACCAUGCGCGAAUGACGGUACCUGCAGAAUAAGCACCGGCUAACUACGUGCCAGCAGCCGCGGUAAUACGUAGGGUGCAAGCGUUAAUCGGAAUUACUGGGCGUAAAGCGUGCGCAGGCGGCUUUGUAAGACGGAUGUGAAAGCCCCGGGCUCAACCUGGGAAGUGCAUUCGUGACUGCAAGGCUAGAGUGUGUCAGAGGGAGGUGGAAUUCCGCGUGUAGCAGUGAAGUGCGUAGAGAUGCGGAGGAACACCGAUGGCGAAGGCAGCCUCCUGGGAUAACACUGACGCUCAGGCACGAGAGCGUGGGGAGCAAACAGGAUUAGGAACCCGGGUAGUCC